CGCAUGGCGCAGCUACCAUGCAAGUCGAGCGGUAGCACAGAGAGCUUGCUCUCGGGUGACGAGCGGCGGACGGGUGAGUAAUGUCUGGGAAACUGCCUGAUGGAGGGGGAUAACUACUGGAAACGGUAGCUAAUACCGCAUAAUGUCGCAAGACCAAAGUGGGGGACCUUCGGGCCUCAUGCCAUCAGAUGUGCCCAGAUGGGAUUAGCUAGUAGGUGGGGUAACGGCUCACCUAGGCGACGAUCCCUAGCUGGUCUGAGAGGAUGACCAGCCACACUGGAACUGAGACACGGUCCAGACUCCUACGGGAGGCAGCAGUGGGGAAUAUUGCACAAUGGGCGCAAGCCUGAUGCAGCCAUGCCGCGUGUGUGAAGAAGGCCUUCGGGUUGUAAAGCACUUUCAGCGGGGAGGAAGGCGGUGAGGUUAAUAACCUUGUCGAUUGACGUUACCCGCAGAAGAAGCACCGGCUAACUCCGUGCCAGCAGCCGCGGUAAUACGGAGGGUGCAAGCGUUAAUCGGAAUUACUGGGCGUAAAGCGCACGCAGGCGGUCUGUCAAGUCGGAUGUGAAAUCCCCGGGCUCAACCUGGGAACUGCAUUCGAAACUGGCAGGCUAGAGUCUUGUAGAGGGGGGUAGAAUUCCAGGUGUAGCGGUGAAAUGCGUAGAGAUCUGGAGGAAUACCGGUGGCGAAGGCGGCCCCCUGGACAAAGACUGACGCUCAGGUGCGAAAGCGUGGGGAGCAAACAGGAUUAGAUACCCUGGUAGUCCACGCCGUAAACGAUGUCGAUUUGGAGGUUGUGCCCUUGAGGCGUGGCUUCCGGAGCUAACGCGUUAAAUCGACCGCCUGGGGAGUACGGCCGCAAGGUUAAAACUCAAAUGAAUUGACGGGGGCCCGCACAAGCGGUGGAGCAUGUGGUUUAAUUCGAUGCAACGCGAAGAACCUUACCUGGUCUUGACAUCCACAGAACUUUCCAGAGAUGGAUUGGUGCCUUCGGGAACUGUGAGACAGGUGCUGCAUGGCUGUCGUCAGCUCGUGUUGUGAAAUGUUGGGUUAAGUCCCGCAACGAGCGCAACCCUUAUCCUUUGUUGCCAGCGGUCCGGCCGGGAACUCAAAGGAGACUGCCAGUGAUAAACUGGAGGAAGGUGGGGAUGACGUCAAGUCAUCAUGGCCCUUACGACCAGGGCUACACACGUGCUACAAUGGCAUAUACAAAGAGAAGCGACCUCGCGAGAGCAAGCGGACCUCAUAAAGUAUGUCGUAGUCCGGAUUGGAGUCUGCAACUCGACUCCAUGAAGUCGGAAUCGCUAGUAAUCGUAGAUCAGAAUGCUACGGUGAAUACGUUCCCGGGCCUUGUACACACCGCCCGUCACACCAUGGGAGUGGGUUGCAAAAGAAGUAGGUAGCUUAACCUUCGGGAGGGCGCUACCACUUGUAUCUUGCG
This 1441-nucleotide ribosomal RNA is filed under the name Klebsiella pneumoniae. RNAcentral describes it as "bacterial SSU rRNA". It matches the Rfam family "Bacterial small subunit ribosomal RNA". Lineage: Bacteria; Pseudomonadati; Pseudomonadota; Gammaproteobacteria; Enterobacterales; Enterobacteriaceae. The record is from RNAcentral.